CGGUAAACAUGGAGGGAUUUUCCUUUGCCUUAAGCCCAGAAUGCAUCUCCUUCUUUGGAUGUCUUAAGUAUCCCACAUUACAGCUGUUCUUCGUUUAUUUAUUUUUAACAGUGAGUAUUUGGCUGUAGUCCAGUGCUUUGGGUGUGAAACAUCAAGCAGAGAGAGAAAAAGCAGAGAGAAUAGGAAACUGUGCCCCACAUACUGCCUUUCCUUCAAGCAGUUCCACAUCUCUUUGCCCUCCUUUUCUCAUAACCAGCGGGUGAAAGGGUAGCUUGUGAUUUGAUGCUGAUGACUGCUGAGCCUUUCUCACGUGUCAGCAUUUAUUUCUUGGAAAAGUGUCUUGUUAGUACUACUACACACUGUUGCAGCAGCCACCAGCACCCAGUUAGUGGUUAUGUGCUUUUGGGACUUCCCAUAGCGCGAGGACUUCACAUAGCAGCUGUGAAAAAGCCUGUGCCUCGUUCAGGAAAUUUAUUUUGAGGAGUCUCUGUCAGCCAAGAAGACGCCAUCUCUCGUUUCCAGAGGGGAAGCCAUUUAUGCUGCAUAUUGAAGCACAGUGACAGAGCAUCAGAUUUAGAAAAAUGAGCGGCUUACUCUAAGCUUUCAUCUCUCGAGUCUGGAUUUGGAUCCCCUUUUGAAGCCGGUAGCGAGACUGCUGUUGAUAUCAAGAGAAACUUCAUCAGAUGUCUCAUGAGCAAAUCCCAUUGAAGGUCACAAAUUUAGUAGGAUAGUUGUGGAUCACCGGAAUGCCAUCAGCCUACCACAAAUGGGCAUUCCUUGACCUGCUUGUGUGAUCUAAAGAGACAAUCUUUGUUCUGUUGCUGUGUUUUUCUGUACAGGAGCAAUGACCAGAAUCAUUAAUAACAGAGACACAUUAUGACUUGUUUGCUGAGAUUUUAUAACAUCAUUCCAAUUUCUAGAGAGCAGAGAAAGCUUCUUAGAGUUCUAAUUCAUUUUUCAGUGUUAAGAGGAAAAAAAAAAAAAGGAUUAUUAAUCAAAGUAUUCUGAAAAUAAUGACAAGCCUGCUAGGAACCUGAAAUACCACUGUGCAUUAUUCCCCAACGUGAUUAUGGGUGGCAAGGUGGGAGGCAGCCUGCAGAAGCUGGCAGAACUACUGCGUCAAGUGCUGUGAAUGGUGUGGUAAAUAAACUUUGAGAGAUUAUGAAUUUGCA
RNAcentral lists this long non-coding RNA (1172 nucleotides) under Chrysolophus pictus (golden pheasant). RNAcentral's name for it is "lncRNA (ENSCPIG00010001361.1)". The record is from RNAcentral. Lineage: Eukaryota; Metazoa; Chordata; Aves; Galliformes; Phasianidae.